UACGGAGGUGGCAAGCGUUGCUCGGAAUCACUGGGCUUAAAGCGCGUGUAGGCGGAUGGGAACGUCGGUGACUGAAAGCCCCCGGCUCAACCGGGGAAGUGGUGCCGAAACGACCCGUCUGGAGGGACGUAGGGGGACCUGGAACUUCCGGUGGAGCGGUGAAAUGCGUUGAGAUCGGAAGGAACGCCCGUGGCGAAAGCGAGGUCCUGGACGGCGUCUGACGCUGAGACGCGAAAGCUAGGGGAGCGAACGGG
This 254-nucleotide ribosomal RNA is filed under the name uncultured bacterium. RNAcentral describes it as "partial 16S ribosomal RNA". It matches the Rfam family "Bacterial small subunit ribosomal RNA", at positions 524 to 776 of the family's 1533-position model. The record is from RNAcentral.